This 497-nucleotide ribosomal RNA is filed under the name uncultured bacterium. Its description in RNAcentral is "partial 16S ribosomal RNA". It matches the Rfam family "Bacterial small subunit ribosomal RNA", at positions 28 to 507 of the family's 1533-position model. The record is from RNAcentral.
GAUGAACGCUGGCGGCGUGCCUAAUACAUGCAAGUCGAGCGAACGGACGAGAAGCUUGCUUCUCUGAUGUUAGCGGCGGACGGGUGAGUAACACGUGGAUAACCUACCUAUAAGACUGGGAUAACUUCGGGAAACCGGAGCUAAUACCGGAUAAUAUUUUGAACCGCAUGGUUCAAAAGUGAAAGACGGUCUUGCUGUCACCUAUAGAUGGAUCCGCGCUGCAUUAGCUAGUUGGUAAGGUAACGGCUUACCAAGGCAACGAUGCAUAGCCGACCUGAGAGGGUGAUCGGCCACACUGGAACUGAGACACGGUCCAGACUCCUACGGGAGGCAGCAAUAGGGAAUCUUCCGCAAUGGGCGAAAGCCUGACGGAGCAACGCCGCGUGAGUGAUGAAGGUCUUCGGAUCGUAAAACUCUGUUAUUAGGGAAGAACAUAUGUGUAAGUAACUGUGCACAUCUUGACGGUACCUAAUCAGAAAGCCACGGCUAACUACGUG